AGUACGAAUUUUGCUUUUUAGAUUUUAGUACUAAAUUUGGUACUAAAUUUGGUAGGUAUUUUUCUUCAGAAAUAUUAAAUGCGCAUUAUAUCUAUCGCUGAAAUAUAAUAUCAUAAAAUGUCUUCAAACUGUUUUGGCCUUCAGGUCAUAAAAACGAGCUUGAAAAUCGCGUUUUGGAGUACCGAAUAACUUUUGCGUGGUUUUUCAAAAUAACUUUCGAUUAGUCUUAUCUCAAAGUAUUGAUAACUUUGAGCUUUGAAAAAUGUACAUAAAAUUAAAGAUAUGAUGUAGGAAUACGUAAGUACAUUGUAUUAGAUAAAUGGGCAGGCUUUCUGUAAAAUAGUACAGUCGUUUUUGAAAACUUGAGUUGGGCAUUGACAUCACAAAUUAAGUUCCUAAUUAAAAAGUAUGAAUAAGUUACGAGUUUUUUCGGUUUUGUUGGCCACACUUUUGUGGAUCAAUGUUGUACAAGUUCAAGCGCAAGACUUACUAAAAGGUUUACUUCAAGGAUUAGAUCGUGUGAUAUUUGUUUUAAUGAAGUUGCUGAAGCCUGUGCUGUCGUUGCUGGAUCCUGUGCUUGGAAAUUUGCUGGAGCAGAAGGGUCUGGGGAAACCUAUAUCAAAACUCUUGGGACCAAAUGGAAAGAUACUGUAGGCUUCAGACCCGCUGUUGGAGCCAUAAUUAUUGCUCCUUUGAUGCCGUUACUGAAAGGGCUCGUAAUUAGUCUAAUUCAGUGAGAUGGCAGUUCUUGAACAAUAGUUACGUACGUGUGAAUAUGUCUCACGUUUCGUGACAUCAUAAAUUUAGUUUUUAAAUAAUAAAUACGUACCUACAUAAUUACAUACCUAAUCAUACUGACAGAUUUAGUUGUGCAAAGUUAUAGAUUUUAUUGAUUAAGAUGAAUACACAUAAGUAGCUUAUGCCAAUGCUAAUUAGUAUAUAAAUACCUGCAUUUAUGAGUACAUAACUAUUUUUGUGCAGCCAAUAAAUUACAUAAUAUCUGUU
Molecule: long non-coding RNA, 1005 nt
Organism: Planococcus citri (citrus mealybug)
Lineage: Eukaryota; Metazoa; Arthropoda; Insecta; Hemiptera; Pseudococcidae
Exons: 2
Source: RefSeq, a predicted model, not a curated record